Molecule: ribosomal RNA, 386 nt
Filed under: uncultured soil bacterium
Lineage: Bacteria
Description: bacterial SSU rRNA
Rfam family: Bacterial small subunit ribosomal RNA
Source: RNAcentral
AGAUUGAACGCUGGCGGCAGGCCUAACACAUGCAAGUCGAGCGGUAGAGAGGUGCUUGCACCUCUUGAGAGCGGCGGACGGGUGAGUAAUGCCUAGGAAUCUGCCUAGUGGUGGGGGAUAACGUUCGGAAACGGACGCUAAAUACCGCAUACGUCCUACGGGAGAAAGCGGGGGACCUUCGGGCCUCGCGCCAUUAGAUGAGCCUAGGUCGAUUAGCUAGUUGUGAGGUAAUGGCUCACCAAGGCGACGAUCCGUAACUGGUCUGAGAGGAUGAUCAGUCACACUGGAACUGAGACACGGUCCAGACUCCUACGGAGCAGCAGUGGGAAUAUUGGACAAUGGGACGAAAGCCUGGAUCCAGCCAAUGACCGCGUGUGUGAAGAGGU